RNAcentral lists this ribosomal RNA (481 nucleotides) under uncultured bacterium. RNAcentral describes it as "partial 16S ribosomal RNA". It matches the Rfam family "Bacterial small subunit ribosomal RNA", at positions 28 to 507 of the family's 1533-position model. The record is from RNAcentral.
GAUGAACGCUGGCGGCGUGCUUAACACAUGCAAGUCGAACGAAGCAUUUAGGACAGAUUACUUCGGUUUGAAGUUCUUUAUGACUGAGUGGCGGACGGGUGAGUAACGCGUGGGUAACCUGCCUUGUACUGGGGGAUAGCAGCUGGAAACGGCUGGUAAUACCGCAUAAGCGCACAAUGCUGCAUGACAUGGUGUGAAAAACUCCGGUGGUAUAAGAUGGACCCGCGUCUGAUUAGCUAGUUGGUGAGAUAACAGCCCACCAAGGCGACGAUCAGUAGCCGACCUGAGAGGGUGACCGGCCACAUUGGGACUGAGACACGGCCCAGACUCCUACGGGAGGCAGCAGUGGGGAAUAUUGCACAAUGGAGGAAACUCUGAUGCAGCGACGCCGCGUGAGUGAAGAAGUAAUUCGUUAUGUAAAGCUCUAUCAGCAGGGAAGAUAGUGACGGUACCUGACUAAGAAGCUCCGGCUAAAUACGUG